UUUUAGUGCAACGCUGAACCAUGACAACUCCAAAGAAACACAGUUUGAAAGCCACUUAAGCUACCAAGAAGGAAAAAUUAUUUGUUUUUACUAGUUGAAAAUUAUGUGCGACAGACAAAAUGUGUUUAAAAUGGUGUUUUAAGCAUUAAGCAUUUAAACACACUAACUAAAAAUGUAUAUGUAUGUACAUACGACAUGAAGGAGAAACUUUGUGGAAAGCGAAAUUAAAGGAAAUUAAGCUCUGGCGGAAUUCUAUUAGGAAAAGUAGAAGAAUUUCCAGCGCACACAAAAUUUUGCCGCACCUCCACCAGACUUGAGUUUACCUCCAAUUCGUUUGCCUGAGUUCACGCCCAU
Molecule: RNA transcript, 354 nt
Organism: Ceratitis capitata (Mediterranean fruit fly)
Lineage: Eukaryota; Metazoa; Arthropoda; Insecta; Diptera; Tephritidae
Exons: 2
Source: RefSeq, a predicted model, not a curated record